UAGUGACCUGGGACUGUAUCAUUAAGUAUUCAGAAAAGCUAAAUGGUGACUAGGCUUCCCCAGUGCAGAGAAGACUAAAGAUUCCCCAGACAAUGAGAAAGUGAAGUAAGAUUGGUUGUCAGAACAGAGGGUGAUGUCCUGGAAGAACAAUGAGGGAUGGAAGGACUGGAGGUCACAAUGAGCAUGGCAAAUAUGUUUAGGAUGGCUGAUGCAUACAAAGAGAUGGUUAAAUAAGAGGUAUUUUUGGAGACACUCAUGGAUAUUUGGAUAUGUCAACCAGAUGAGGAAAGAAGAACUAUGGUGCAUUAAAAGAUAGUUGUGGAGAGAUUAGUCUGUUCUGUCAAGCCUCCAGAUGUGCAGUGGAUGCUGAUGUGGACAUGGAGAGUGAUGGCAAUACUACCUUGGAUGUGGUGAAAGAGAACAUCAUCAUUUUCACCAUCUUUAUUUUCAUCAUCAUUAUCAUUGUGUUCAGAGACAUAGGUAACAGGGAAGGAGGCCAAGUUAGGAAAACCAAAUAAACAAACAGACUUGGGGUGGGUAGAGACCUCGUGGGUUCAAGAGUAGAAAAAGGGAUGGAAGAUUAAUGAAAAGCAGCAACAGUUCAGCAUGACUGAUUCACUUUCUUUACCUUUUCACCUUUGCAAAAGGUAAGGGCCUAGUGCCCUUUGAUUUCAGCCAUGGAAACCAAGAAGAAUAUAGCUAUAAUUCUUGACUC
This is a non-coding RNA of Phascolarctos cinereus (koala), 715 nucleotides long. The record is from RefSeq and is a predicted model, not a curated record. Lineage: Eukaryota; Metazoa; Chordata; Mammalia; Diprotodontia; Phascolarctidae.